Molecule: unclassified non-coding RNA, 350 nt
Filed under: soil metagenome
Description: partial contains 5.8S ribosomal RNA, internal transcribed spacer 2, and large subunit ribosomal RNA
Rfam family: 5.8S ribosomal RNA (bases 1-120)
Source: RNAcentral
GAUGAAGAACGUAGCGAAAUGCGAUACGUAAUGUGAAUUGCAGAAUUCAGUGAAUCAUCGAGUCUUUGAACGCACAUUGCGCCCGCCAGUAUUCUGGCGGGCAUGCCUGUUCGAGCGUCAUUUCAACCCUCAAGCCCAGCUUGGUGUUGGGGAUCGGCACAGGCGCCCUCGGGCGCCCGCCGUCCCCUAAAUCUAGUGGCGGUCCCGCUGCAGCCUCCUCUGCGUAGUAGUUUUCUCCUCGCAAGGGCAGCUCGGUGGCGACCUCGCCGUAAAACCCCCAACUUCUGAAAGGUUGACCUCGAAUCAGGUAGGAAUACCCGCUGAACUUAAGCAUAUCAAUAAGCGGAGGA